Molecule: ribosomal RNA, 372 nt
Filed under: uncultured organism
Description: bacterial SSU rRNA
Rfam family: Bacterial small subunit ribosomal RNA
Source: RNAcentral
CAGAGGUCUCAAGCGUUGUUCGGAUUCAUUGGGCGUAAAGGGUGCGUAGGUGGCGCCGUAAGUCGGGUGUGAAAUUUCGGAGCUCAACUCCGAAACUGCAUUCGAUACUGCGGUGCUUGAGGACUGGAGAGGAGACUGGAAUUCAUGGUGUAGCAGUGAAAUGCGUAGAGAUCAUGAGGAAGACCAGUGGCGAAGGCGGGUCUCUGGACAGUUCCUGACACUGAGGCACGAAGGCCAGGGGAGCAAACGGGAUUAGAUACCCCGGUAGUCCUGGCAGUAAACGGUGCACGUUUGGUGUGGGAGGAUUCGACCCCUUCCGCGCCGGAGCUAACGCGUUAAACGUGCCGCCUGGGGAGUACGGUCGCAAGAUUA